AUGAACGCUGGCGGCGUGCUUAACACAUGCAAGUCGCACGAGAACUCUUCUGCUUGCAGAAGAUAGUAAAGUGGCGCACGGGUGAGUAUCGCGUGGGUAAUCUACCUCUGAAUUGGGGAUAACAUCGCGAAAGCGAUGCUAAUACCGAAUAAUAUCCCGAGAACUUAGGCUUUUGGGAUCAAAGAUGGCCUCUACAUGUAAGCUAUUGUUUGGAGAUGAGCCCGCGUACCAUUAGCUUGUUGGCAGGGUAAUGGCCUACCAAGGCAACGAUGGUUAGCUGGUCUGAGAGGAUGAUCAGCCACACUGGAACUGACACACGGUCCAGACUCCAACGGGAGGCAGCAGUGAGGAAUUUUGCGCAAUGGGGGAAACCCUGACGCAGCAACGCCGCGUGAGUGAUGAAGGCUUUCGAGUCGUAAAGCUCUGUCAAGUGAGAAGAACCUACUUUUUGUUAAUAUCAUUAAGUACUGACGGUAUCACUGAAGGAAGCACCGGCUAACUCCGUGCC
RNAcentral lists this ribosomal RNA (508 nucleotides) under uncultured delta proteobacterium. RNAcentral's name for it is "bacterial SSU rRNA". It matches the Rfam family "Bacterial small subunit ribosomal RNA", at positions 29 to 509 of the family's 1533-position model. The record is from RNAcentral. Lineage: Bacteria; Deltaproteobacteria.